GAUGAACGCUAGCGGCAGGCUUAACACAUGCAAGUCGAGGGGCAGCAGGGAUUUAGCUUGCUAAAUUCGCUGGCGACCGGCGCACGGGUGCGUAACGCGUAUCCAACUUUCCCGUUACUCUCGGAUAGCCUUCCGAAAGGGAGAUUAAUACGAGAUGGUGUUCUAAUUUCGCAUGUUAUUAGAACUAAAGAUUUAUCGGUAACGGAUAGGGAUGCGUGACAUUAGAUAGUUGGCGGGGUAACGGCCCACCAAGUCUACGAUGUCUAGGGGUUCUGAGAGGAAGGUCCCCCACACUGGAACUGAGACACGGUCCAGACUCCUACGGGAGGCAGCAGUGGGGAAUAUUGGGCAAUGGGCGCAAGCCUGACCCAGCAAUGCCGCGUGAAGGAAGAAGGCUUUCGGGUUGUAAACUUCUUUUGUCAGGGACGAGUAGAAGACGGUACCUGACGAAUAAGCCACGGCUAACUACGUG
Molecule: ribosomal RNA, 472 nt
Filed under: uncultured bacterium
Lineage: Bacteria
Description: bacterial SSU rRNA
Rfam family: Bacterial small subunit ribosomal RNA
Source: RNAcentral